Molecule: ribosomal RNA, 263 nt
Filed under: Pseudotetracha whelani
Lineage: Eukaryota; Metazoa; Arthropoda; Insecta; Coleoptera; Carabidae
Description: partial 16S ribosomal RNA
Source: RNAcentral
UGGUUGGACGAGGUAAUAGCUGUCUUUAUUUAAUAUAUAUUAGAAUUUAACUUUUAAGUCAAAAGGCUUAAAUUUAAUUGAUAGACGAGAAGACCCUAUAGAUCUUUAUUUAUAAAGUUAUGAGUUGGAUUUGGAUUAAUUUAAAGCUUGUAAUUCUAUGAAUUUUAUUGGGGUAAUAUAAAGAUUAAAAAAAUUCUUUGAAUAGAUUGAACAAUGAUUAUUGACAAAUUGAUCCAUUAGUAUUGAUUAGAAGAUUAAGUUAC